GCAGGCGUAGCUCAGCAGGUAGAGCGCCACCUUGCCAAGGUGGAGGUCGUGGGUUCGAGCCCCAUCGCCCGCU
RNAcentral lists this transfer RNA (73 nucleotides) under Phaeobacter phage MD18. It matches the Rfam family "tRNA". Rfam says of the family: Transfer RNA (tRNA) molecules are approximately 80 nucleotides in length. Their secondary structure includes four short double-helical elements and three loops (D, anti-codon, and T loops). Lineage: Duplodnaviria; Heunggongvirae; Uroviricota; Caudoviricetes. The record is from Rfam by way of RNAcentral.